Rattus norvegicus (Norway rat) is the source of this 1257-nucleotide non-coding RNA. NCBI's taxonomy places the organism in Eukaryota, Metazoa, Chordata, Mammalia, Rodentia, Muridae. The record is from RefSeq and is a predicted model, not a curated record.
CCAAAGAGAAGGGUCUGUAGUACCAGUGACAAAUCUAAGAACUAUAGACACUCAAAACUCUCAUUUACUGCCCAAAGACAGUAAAUAUCCAAGCAUUUUUGCGCAAUAAAUCUGAAACUAUGACCAUAGAGAGUGAGAUUUGAAACUGUGACUAUAGAUAGAGGAAGAGACACUCUUUCUUGACCUGAUCCUGGACUCUCAUGCUUGCUGAUCCUGGUGUAGUCAAGGGUUGAGUUGCAUAACUUAUUCUUACUUCAUGAAAAAGACACCAUCAAAGGGUAUCAGGCAUGACAGGUUCCUCAUCUCCACUAGAAACAGUGAAGAUCAGAGUUAGUAGCCACAUGAGCAGGAACAACUAAGGCGAUUGCUACAUGUUAGACUGUAGGCUGCAGUGCAUCAUGGACUUGGUCAAUCUUAGUUGGGGUCUGGGUAAGAUUUGGUUCUUUCAUUGGCUAUAUGGUGCACACUGAUCAUGGCAAAGGGAGAGGCUCAAGUGGACUGAUGGAAGUUCAUUCGCCAUGCUUCUUAAAGCCCUUUUCUCAAUAGAUACGAGAUGCUGUCCCUUCCAGCUAUCGUCCUACAGCUCAAAGUCAAGGAUACAGAAUGCAGACUGCACGUUGUCACAGCACACUACUGAAUCAUGUGAAUCGCGUGGCCGAGACAUGAGUCUAGUAUGGGGAAAAAUGAGGCGCAGAGACAGUUAAGCAUCUACUUCAGAAGCAUGGCUGCCAUCCCCAGGCACAAACUCUUCAGUCUAUGCCAGAGGUGCUGGGCGCUGCGACUGUGGAACCUCUGAUCCCACAGCCUCCUACUGAUGGAGAGAUUAUCACCAUUUCUAAGAGACAACAUCGAACUGGGAGGCUGUGGCCGAUCUUCAAAUCCCCCAGGUGGCUGAGCAGAAGUAAGGUUCAUAGCUGGAGACCUGGAAGGCAGAAGUACCUAUGAAUGUUUCCAUCGGGUUAACCACAGCUACUCAGGUUGUUAAAAAGUCCUGAAUGAUCAGCUAACCCUGAAUGUGUGCCUCUAAUUCUUCUUGGUGACAGCGGUUAUCGCUGCUGUAAGGAAAAGCCCAGUGUGCUGAACCAAAGACCCCCCCCUGUCAACAUCCCAGUUUAACCUUUUCCUGGACUAGAGGGAACCUUAAUGCUUCUUGUUUUGUGUCUGACAUUGAUCUAAUGUUGCAUUUCUCAUACUAGGCUCUGGGGAGCAAUGAUAAUUUUCCACUUAAUAAAGCUUCCUCUCUUUUUUCCCUCUCAA